CCUCACUUCAUUCCUGACAAUGCUUGAUCUCGUCUGAUGUCAGAAUCUAAGGGUUGGGCCUGCCUGCUUAGUACUUGGAUGGGAGACCGCCAGGAAUACUAAAUGCUGAAAGGC
Molecule: ribosomal RNA, 114 nt
Filed under: Periophthalmus magnuspinnatus
Lineage: Eukaryota; Metazoa; Chordata; Actinopteri; Gobiiformes; Gobiidae
Source: RNAcentral